AAGUCGUAACAAGGUUUCCGUAGGUGAACCUGCGGAAGGAUCAUUCACACUAAGUCAGAUAUGCUCGCUGCAGUAUAUCUCACACCACUACAUCAUAUCACUAUAACGAGAGAUAAGUACAAGCACGCACGCCUAGUUAUGAGGUGUGUUGCUAGUGUCACCGGCACUAGCCCGAUACAAUCCACUCGUACUAGCUUAGCUUAGCCAAGCUCAAGCCGGUACAACAUUACUUUUUACCCUAUCUUGUCUAAUGUGUGUAGUCAUGGCUACAUGCAGCAGCAUUAUUACUAGAGUAUACUUAAGCUCGUGUCAGAUGCGAGCACGCUGAACAAGUGGUUAAUAACUAAAUAUAAUAACUACAACUCUUUGCAAUGGAUAUCUUGGUUCUC
This 389-nucleotide unclassified non-coding RNA is filed under the name fungal sp. RNAcentral's name for it is "partial internal transcribed spacer region". The stretch from base 1 to 46 matches the Rfam family "Eukaryotic small subunit ribosomal RNA", at positions 1786 to 1831 of the family's 1831-position model. The record is from RNAcentral. Lineage: Eukaryota; Fungi.